Molecule: ribosomal RNA, 868 nt
Filed under: Escherichia coli
Lineage: Bacteria; Pseudomonadati; Pseudomonadota; Gammaproteobacteria; Enterobacterales; Enterobacteriaceae
Description: partial 23S ribosomal RNA
Rfam family: Bacterial large subunit ribosomal RNA
Source: RNAcentral
ACGGGGAGCAGCCCAGAGCCUGAAUCAGUAUGUGUGUUAGUGGAAGCGUCUGGAAAGGCGCGCGAUACAGGGUGACAGCCCCGUACACAAAAAUGCACAUGCUGUGAGCUCGAUGAGUAGGGCGGGACACGUGGUAUCCUGUCUGAAUAUGGGGGGACCAUCCUCCAAGGCUAAAUACUCCUGACUGACCGAUAGUGAACCAGUACCGUGAGGGAAAGGCGAAAAGAACCCCGGCGAGGGGAGUGAAAAAGAACCUGAAACCGUGUACGUACAAGCAGUGGGAGCACGCUUAGGCGUGUGACUGCGUACCUUUUGUAUAAUGGGUCAGCGACUUAUAUUCUGUAGCAAGGUUAACCGAAUAGGGGAGCCGAAGGGAAACCGAGUCUUAACUGGGCGUUAAGUUGCAGGGUAUAGACCCGAAACCCGGUGAUCUAGCCAUGGGCAGGUUGAAGGUUGGGUAACACUAACUGGAGGACCGAACCGACUAAUGUUGAAAAAUUAGCGGAUGACUUGUGGCUGGGGGUGAAAGGCCAAUCAAACCGGGAGAUAGCUGGUUCUCCCCGAAAGCUAUUUAGGUAGCGCCUCGUGAAUUCAUCUCCGGGGGUAGAGCACUGUUUCGGCAAGGGGGUCAUCCCGACUUACCAACCCGAUGCAAACUGCGAAUACCGGAGAAUGUUAUCACGGGAGACACACGGCGGGUGCUAACGUCCGUCGUGAAGAGGGAAACAACCCAGACCGCCAGCUAAGGUCCCAAAGUCAUGGUUAAGUGGGAAACGAUGUGGGAAGGCCCAGACAGCCAGGAUGUUGGCUUAGAAGCAGCCAUCAUUUAAAGAAAGCGUAAUAGCUCACUGGUCGAGUCGGCCUGCGC